This 72-nucleotide transfer RNA is filed under the name Phrynosoma platyrhinos (Desert horned lizard). RNAcentral describes it as "tRNA-OTHER". The record is from RNAcentral. Lineage: Eukaryota; Metazoa; Chordata; Lepidosauria; Squamata; Phrynosomatidae.
GCCAGCAUGGUGUAGUGGUUUGAGCAUUGGACUAUGACUCUGGAGACUGGGGUUCAAAUCCCCACUCAGCCA